UUUAGAUCUUCUUUUUCCACACUUUAAUCCUCUCUCUUAUUAGCUUAGACUUGGAGUUAGAUGCUUGAGAGGAUCUCUUCCCCCUCUCUUGUAAAGGUUUUCCUUGAGUUUUAAGGAGCUUGAAGGAGAAGAAGCAUUGGCUUGAGGCAAGGAGUUAGCCGAGGAUUAGCUUGUGAGGAAGAAAAAUCAUCAACUUGUCUUUUGCAGGUAGUAGGUGCGGCUGUGUGGCAGCGUGCUGAGCAUUUGCUACUAUUUUAUCUUUUAUGUAUCUUUUCAAUUGAUGUAUGUUUAUUUUUGGUCAUAGGCAUGUUGUUUGACUUAUAAAUCCAUUAGUGUGUAGUAAAUCUUGUUGCAUGGUUUUGUAUCUAAACAACUCUUAAACUCUUGUUGUAUCAGCUGUGUGCA
Dioscorea cayenensis subsp. rotundata (Guinea yam) is the source of this 405-nucleotide long non-coding RNA. RefSeq lists it as uncharacterized. The record is from RefSeq and is a predicted model, not a curated record. Lineage: Eukaryota; Viridiplantae; Streptophyta; Magnoliopsida; Dioscoreales; Dioscoreaceae. The transcript has 3 exons.